CUAACAUCAGUGAUCAGGAAGAGUAGAUACAUUAACUGAGUCCCAGCGAUUCCGGGGCAGUGAAAGCCGGAUACUUAAGCGUGUAUUGAAUGGACCUGUAAGAUGGCGUGCGAAAGUUAUGGUAGCAUAGCCCGGGAGUCAGCCGUUACAAUGAACAGGGUAUCGAGGAAUCCGUACCUUAGAAGAGCGUUUUAUAUUUUGGUGGCAUAGCGAAAUUCAGCAUUUCGUCCUUAAUGGAUGAAAUGCUUUUUUAAUAUAAAACAAAAAUGGGUGGCACCACGAGUCACUUCGUCCCAUAU
Molecule: non-coding RNA, 299 nt
Filed under: Oxobacter pfennigii
Lineage: Bacteria; Bacillati; Bacillota; Clostridia; Eubacteriales; Clostridiaceae
Description: T-box sequence
Rfam family: T-box leader
About the family: Uncharged tRNA acts as the effector for transcription antitermination of genes in the T-box leader family. T-boxes are found upstream of many aminoacyl-tRNA synthetase genes and some amino acid biosynthetic genes usually in Gram-positive bacteria. The anticodon of a specific tRNA base pairs to a specifier sequence within the T-box motif, and the NCCA acceptor tail of the tRNA base pairs to a conserved bulge in the T-box antiterminator hairpin.
Source: RNAcentral